Molecule: ribosomal RNA, 454 nt
Filed under: uncultured bacterium
Lineage: Bacteria
Description: bacterial SSU rRNA
Rfam family: Bacterial small subunit ribosomal RNA
Source: RNAcentral
GAUGAACGCUAGCGGCAGGCCUAAUACAUGCAAGUCGAGCGGUAAGGCCCUUUCGGGGGUACACGAGCGGCGAACGGGUGAGUAACACGUGGGUGACCUGCCCUCAGCUCUGGGAUAAGCCCGGGAAACUGGGUCUAAUACUGGAUAUGACUCCACGGUGCAUGCCGUGGGGUGGAAAGCCUUGUGCGGCUGAGGAUGGGCCCGNGGCCUAUCAGCUUGUUGGUGGGGUGAUGGCCUACCAAGGCGACGACGGGUAGCCGGCCUGAGAGGGCGACCGGCCACACUGGGACUGAGACACGGCCCAGACUCCUACGGGAGGCAGCAGUGGGGAAUUGUUCGCAAUGGGCGCAAGCCUGACGACGCAACGCCGCGUGGGGAUGAAGGUCUCGGAUGUAAACCCUGUCGAGCGGGACGAAUGGCUCACGAGCUAAUCAUCGUGAGAAUGACGGUACCG